Molecule: ribosomal RNA, 98 nt
Organism: Cricetulus griseus (Chinese hamster)
Lineage: Eukaryota; Metazoa; Chordata; Mammalia; Rodentia; Cricetidae
Source: Ensembl
GUCUACAGCCAUGCCACCCUAAACAUGCCCGAUCUCGGAAGCAAAGCAGGGUCGGGCCUGGUUAGUAUUGGAUAGGAAAAGUGGCUUCGAUGAAGAUU